Molecule: ribosomal RNA, 417 nt
Filed under: uncultured bacterium
Lineage: Bacteria
Description: bacterial SSU rRNA
Rfam family: Bacterial small subunit ribosomal RNA
Source: RNAcentral
UUUAAUUCGAAGCAACGCGCAGAACCUUACCAGCCCUUGACAUCCCGGUCGCGGAUUACAGAGAUGUUUUCCUUCAGUUCGGCUGGACCGGAGACAGGUGCUGCAUGGCUGUCGUCAGCUCGUGUCGUGAGAUGUUGGGUUAAGUCCCGCAACGAGCGCAACCCUCGCCCUUAGUUGCCAGCAUUCAGUUGGGCACUCUAAGGGGACUGCCGGUGAUAAGCCGAGAGGAAGGUGGGGAUGACGCCAAGUCCUCAUGGCCCUUACGGGCUGGGCUACACACGUGCUACAAUGGUGGUGACAGUGGGCAGCGAGCACGCGAGUGUGAGCUAAUCUCCAAAAGCCAUCUCAGUUCGGAUUGCACUCUGCAACUCGAGUGCAUGAAGUUGGAAUCGCUAGUAAUCGCGGAUCAGCAUGCCG